CACCCGGCAGGUAGCUGCGGUCUCUGCCCCCUGCAGACGCCUCUCCUUCUCCCCUGGGACGGAGGCUUUCUUUCCAAGGUACUCCUCUCUACCUCUCUACUUAUAAACCAACUGCAGGAAAGUGCAUGUCAGGUUGUCAGCCAUAAGCAGGGGACUCUUUCACUGUUAUUUGGUUAAAACAUCUAUCCUCAGUUACAGAUGCUUCUCCUGCCAGUUCGCUGAUAAAAGGUCAGUAACUAUCUGUUUGUUCUCUUAAAAUUACAUAAGAAGGGAAAGUGACACCGUGGGAAGUGGAAACUUCUCUGGUCCUAGAAUCAUAAGACCUGAUUUGAGUCGCGUCUGUGCCAUUUACAAGCUGUGUGACCUUGAGCAAGUAGCUGAACAACUUUGAGACCUAAUUUUCUCCCCUGAGAAAUUGGGAGUUUGAACAUUUUCCUAGUGUUGGUAUGAAAAAAGAGAGUAAAUGUGUUUUUUUUAUUUCUGCUAUGAAGGAUGUUAUAUAGUGGGCUAUAAAGUUGCAACAAGGCCAAGAAGAGAUUACAAAUGAGCUUUUGGAGUUGGCAGCAUGCUGUGAACUAACACCUAUAUUCUCAUCUCAUCUCUGACUACUCUCCCCCAAGCUCAUUAUGCCCUUGGCAGCUUGGCUUCUUUCAAUUCCUGAUACACACCAAAGCAUAGCUCCAGCCCUGGGCCUUUGCACUAGAUCUGUUACCUCUACCUAGAAAGUUCCUGCUCUGCCGCUCCGUGUUGCUCGCUCCUUCACUCAUUCAACUCUCAACCUAAAUGCAUCCUUCUCAGGGAAGCCUUCCCUAGCAUCUCAGGUAUUCCCAUCACAUCAACCUUAUCUAUGUUCCUCAUCUCACUUUUUUUUUUUAGCUACCAUUUUCUUCAUUUGUUUGUUGUCUUUCUCUUCCACCAUUAUCAGUUGUAGAAUGUAAGCUGUACAAGAGCAAGGACCUCGUCUGUCUUGUUCUCUGCUAUGUCUCCAGUACCUAGAAAAGUAUCACAUACUAGGUCCACAAUAAAUAUUUAUUAGAUCAAUAAUAUGUGCCAAUCUAUAUCACUGGAAACUUUACAUGCAUUGAAGCUCUCUAAGUAAUAUGGAAUUAAAUAAAAGUAAUGACUAAAUCAGAUCACUUAUAUGGCAAUAUAAAAAACAUGUAAGUUUUUGUUGAAAAAGAGUAAUACUUCCUAUGCUCGUCAGCUUUAGAAAUGAUACUGAAUCAGGUUCCAAGUCUUUUUUAUUGUUAUUGCUGCAAUAUCUCUCAUAAUUCCCCCGCUCUUUAAAAAAAAAAAAAGUCACUACUCUUCUUCAAAUUCUCAUUUCAAGUUAGGCCCAACUCAAAUAACUUUCUUGUCUUUAUUUGGUUUUCAUCUCCUGCAAACUGCCCAGGAUAGUAGUACUAGAUCUCUCGCCUUAAACCAUGUGUUUAGUAUUGUUAUAGAAAAUAAAAGUUCUCCAGUUAUUUCAUCUGGAAGAUCUUAAAACAUUCCCACUUUUUGAAAAACACUUUUUCAUGAAAAACCUUUGCCAUUUUCUAGCAACCAAAUUUAUAAACAAAUAAGUUUAUACUUCAGGAGACAUGGUCUAGUCUAAUCCUCUCAUUUUACAAGUGAGGAAAUUGGGGAUAUAAAGGCAAAAUAACUUGUUCAAUGUCACAGAGUUGAUAAGUGGAAACAGAUUUGACCACAGAACAAUAUGACUGUAGAACCUGGAUGCUCUGCCGUCCCUUACCAGGUAGUGGCAGAGUAAGAAAAGAGCCUAGGACUCCUGAUUCGUGGCAAAGGCCUUCUUCCUUUAUAGGCCUAGCUUCUCAUGCAGGUGAAAUCUAAGAUUCUCCAACACAUUGCAUAAUCUAGCUUUCCAAAUUAUCUCCUACCUUCCUUUUAAUGGGCACUUUGCUCUAGCCAAAUUUGACUAUUAGGUAUUUCUCAAACAUGCCCUACAUUAUCUUCAUUUGCUCACUUUUUUUCUCAUCACUUAGAAUAUCUUUUUUCUACACCUGCAAAGUUCAAAUAAUAGGCACUAGUAUGUAAGGAAAGGGAAGGAUUUCUUCAUAUUUUAUUUCAAUUGCUAUUGAUGUCAUAAAGUUUUUCCUUAUAUACUCCCACUAAGGGUAAUACAUCCCUCCUCUGAACUCUCAUUUCCCUAGAUUUGCAAUGUGGCAUUUUUCACAUUCUAACUGGUAUUUCAGCUUAGAAUUUAUGAAGAUUCCCUCUGAGCACCCUGAGCAUCGACUUCUUAAUAAUUUGGUACCAUCCGGUAUUCCAUGAUCCAAACUGGCCUUACGCAUGAUAAACACUUGAUAGAGUUUUAGAGAGAACCAAAAUUUAUUAAGAACCUACUUUAAUGUGCCAGGUAAUGUGCUUUGAACUGUACAGGUUAGCAUUUAUAUUACACAGAUAGGCAGUGAAGCAGGGAUUCCAAAACACAUCUGCUUAUUGUCAAGAUUUCUAUUCUUUUAAUGACACAGUCCUGCCAGGGAAAUUAAAUAUUUUUAAGGAUGCCAUUUUGUCACACUUUAAAUGUCACUGAGGCUUUGACCUAUUUGUGACAUUGAGUUCAACUCCUUGAAAAUGUUCACAGAUGAACCAAACUCAUCUUUUCCUGUGAGGGCAGCUGCUUCCAGGAUGAGCUUCUGGAGGGCAGCCAGCCCCGUGGUGCAGAGGCCAGGAGGAUGUGUGGGGAAUGGAUGAUAGAAGGCCUCCUAAUCAGGUGCUGUCUGAUGAACUGAAGUGAAACACUGCAAGCAGAAUGGGUCAAAGGAGAGAGAGGCACACAAUUUCAGGCCAGGCCACAAAGCCAGAAAAGAUCUGGAAAAUGUAACUGCAGAAUACAAAAUCAUCUGGAGUCUAACAUUUAAAGAUAGGGUGGUAGAUUACGAGAAAACUACCAUACAGUUCAUGAGGGUGGGGGGGAUCAAAGCUAUAUUUAACAAACUCGGCUAGGAGCAAGCUACAUAUUUAUUCUGCCUGGAAAGUACUUCUGGCAGUGUCUUAUUUGCUGUGUCCAAAAUUAGUAAUAUCAUGAAUAACUAUAACUUCAAAAAUGAAGAAUAUGAUUCUGUGUUUUAUACUUUGUACACGCACUUAUCCUAUUAUGUAACUGAACGGUGUGGGGAAAAGAGUAUAUCUAAUAUGAAAGAAAAAACCUCUGCCCCUGAGAAGUCCAAAUUCUAAAAAUGACUUAAUCGGCCAACUGUGACAAAAGCAAGGCUUUGAACAUCUCAGUAUCCCUGGAGUCUGUCUUCUCGUCAUUCACUUAUUGCCACUGUGACAUACCACGUGACAGUCUGCAUGGCCAGAAAUAUUAAUUACUGUCUGGGGAAGAUGGUAUUAUAUUUAAUACUCCUUUACUCCUAAUCCUACCAUUCUCCAAAAGUACAAUGAAGAGAUGGGCAGGCCUGGGGAUCUAAUGCUUUCAUACAUCAAAAGGUGACACAUUCCCAUUGCUACCAUAAGUUUUGCUAUAUCUGGGAAGAGGUCACUCUUUGAAAUUCUAUAUGCAAUUUUGGGAAAUAGAAUGGUGUUCCUUUUUUUUACCCUCCUAAAAAAGAAUGCUGAAGUUAUUUUCUCUCUUGCCAAAAAGAGAAGAAAAAAACGAGAAGGAGAAAUCAGUUUGAGAUUUGAUUGCGCAGACGUGAGAACAGAGGCAUUGCCAUACCAUGGCAGAUGACUCAUCCAGCCUUUAAUCUUGGCUCCAAACCCUGGCCUCUGCCUGAGGAUUCGGAGAAAGGCAAUAUGCCAUUCUAACUUGUAGACCAUUUAUUUAACAAGGUUUUCCUGACUUAAACCCUCUCUUUACUGCAAAGCUGUACAUUGGAGUAUGCUGAUUUAUGAAAUAAUAAGGACUUUUAAAGUCUUCAAGAGCUCGACAUCUGUUUAAAAAGAAAUAACUGUUUUAUCAGACCUAAAGUUUUUUUUGGCAGGGCUUCAAAGAAAAAUAACAAUUUCCUAUUCUCAUCUAGGUACAUGGAAGUUAUACUGAGGAUUUCUCCCCCUGAGAACACCAAUGAAGUCGCAGAUGUCAAAAUAUGUAUAAGAAUUUUGCCUAAUUCAGUACAAUAAACACUUAAUGUGCACAAACCAUGUAUCUAGCACUAUGCCAAGGUUUGUGCAGAUCAGAAAUGAAGAAAUUAUGUCAACAAAAUAUAUUAUGACAACAUGUAUUUUUUCAAAAUAAUAAUGACAAUAAUAAUAAUCAAUACAAUGUGGUAAGUACCUAAAGGAAGAGGACUGCUUUAUUUGCAUUCAGAGGAACAAGUAAGUCCCUUCAGGAAAUAUGGCUCCGGCUAAUGGGAGUUUUCCAAACCUAUCAAACUGGAAUCACUUACAUUUGGUUCAGCAUUAAAUUCUCUCUGCUCAGACUACUUAAUUUUAGAACUCUGAGAAUGGAUUUUUAAUGACAAGAUUUUUAAGGGUAAGAUUUUUACACAAUUAGAAUAAAAUAAGAAAUAAUUUGUAACCACGUUAUAGAACCUUUCAAACAUGUAUUAAAAUUCUGGGAGAAAAAUACAAACAGUAGAUUUUAGAGGUGGUAAAAUUUUCACUCUAAUAUUCUGUGUAUGUAUAUACAGAAAAGAUUGAAAUUAUUUUUCAGUAAUUGGAAAACAGUAAUAAAAGUUUUAAACAAUGUUUAAAAAUAUUAAGGCAGAUAAUAACGUCAACACAGCUUAUCUGGGAAGCAGAUGCUGAGAGAAAGUUAAGAGGGGAAGUUUCUUAGGGUUCAAUGCCUAAAAAAGAUAAAAGGCGUAAGAAGAAAAUGAAGCAGAGACAGCCUUCAACUGUGAUGCAGAGCUGACACCUGUGAAAGGAAAGAUGGAGAGGUAUAAGAAGAAGAAUUGAGUAGAGAGGGACUCAGACUACAAUGUAAAUCAGAUGUAAGUCAGAUAAAGUCUUGGCUAACUCAAUGGGGAGCUCCCGAGCCCAGCGUGCCCAUUAGAAGAGUACCACAUUGGGAAAAGAUGGCCUGGUCCUAAUAGCCCACCGAGUUGUCAGUGGCUGGGAGCUGCCCUUGUCAGUCCUUGUCUUUAGCUGAAUGCUGCUUCAGAUCUGGAAAGGUGCUGUAGCUGGAGGCCAUGAGCUAACUGCAUGGCCUCCAGGUGAAGGGCAAGCUCUUCCUGAAGGAAGAUCCAGUGGCAUAUCUCCAUGGCUGCCAGACAGAGUAGAGAAAUGGAACUUAUCGGUGUCUCUUCAGAAGUUUUGUUACAAAUAUCCAGAAAUAUUUCUAUAAUCUAAUCAGCAGAUUAUGAAUAUAUGCAUUAGACUUCAGUUUUGGUGCAAUCACAUGAAUUCCAUUUUGUGGAGUAAGAGGUGACUGGGGUAUAGGAUAUAACCCAUAGCCAUCCAUGUUCAUCUUCGUUUUGAAUAUAAUUGGCUAGAAGAUACACAUAUAUCUAUGUAACUUCCUCUAGCAUCCUCCAGUAUGGAGGCUGCAUUAAGACUGCAUGAAGGAGAGGGAGAGAAGGGAGAAACAGAGCAGUUGGACAAUAGGACAGGUAUAGGGAAUAAGGGAGAAGCCAGUAAGGCAGGAAAGACCCUCCGUGACAAAGGGGCAGGGAACAGAACUCAAACAUUUAAUGGCAGGUAACCCAGCUUAGAAUGGUAAAUUGAAAGGUGAAUAUAAAGGGAGAAUGGUGAAAUGAAUUUUCUGAAAUUAAUUGCUGUGUUUAUAGUUUUUAGCCAUGCAUCGGAAUCACCUCAGGACUCCACUCCCAAUCAAUUAUAUAUCUGGGGGAGGACCAAGGCGUUGGUAUUUUUCAGAAGCUCCACUGGUGAUUCUGACAGCACAGCUAGGAUUAAGAAACUGAUCAAUGGGAACGGCAUGCCUGUUGCAGAGGAGCUUCCCUGGGAAAUGUCACACACAGAACAUCAAUCUUCCUUCCCCACUCCUGAGAUCCCUCAUUCUUUGGCACCAGGAACAGCUGCAAUUAGUAAACCCUGGUUCCCUGCUGUCUCGCAAAUCACAAGAGUCCAACGUGUGGAUAUAAACUUUUGUUCAUGGGAGGAUCUUUCCCUCAGUGGAAAAGCAACUGGGAAAAGCAGGACACACUGUACAGUGACUGCAGUUUCAUCCAAUGCCACCACCCAUGCAGGCAUAAAUAAUGAACAUGGAUGGGGGAGUCUGGAGCUGCGGAAUUGAGGAAGAAAGAACACAGAAAUUAAAAUUCUCACAAAGGCUACCGUUAAGCUAGAGGAAGACCACACCACUGUGUGUCCACAAAGAUACAGAGCCAGGCCGGGUUCAGCCAUGCUGGUCAUCUGCUCUAUAUAAUACAAUUAUUUAGAGAUGGUGGGUAGAGAACAACUACAGAAAAAAAAAAAACUGCCAGAAACUAGAAUGUCAUUUUUACACGCUCAUUUGUAGAAUUCCUCCCAGUUUUUACUCAAGGGAACUUUAAAAUGAUUUUCAUUUGGGGAAAGAACUGUUUUGAGUUUACCCUAUAAGAUGGCCACUAAAACUCACCCACUUUCAUGAUUACCCAGCCAUCCUCAGAUCAUCUUCAUGAUUUUCCUGGAAAUAACGGAAGAGGCCCUGGGGAUGAUUUUAUUGGUAGAGUGGGAAUGUAUUAAAAUUCUCUACUUCCUUGUUACAUGGUCUUUCCUCCUCCACCCUACAAGGUGUGUGCUUGUAACUCAAAUUUCCAUUUGAGUAAUUAGCAAUUAUUAUUUAAAACUAACCUGAAAAUAAAAAUCGUAUUCAAUUCAUUCAUAGGGAGCAUCUACCUAUUUAUUAUUACCACAUAGGUGAUGUGACUCUAGAAACAUCUUGGUAUUCAAAUAGCCAAUUAAAAUAUAAAAUGUAAUGAUUUUCUAAAGCUACUCGUUUUCCUUCUCUCAUCUCUAUCUACUAAUUGGAAAGUCUAUUCUCCAAACACAGCAAAGAUGAUUGACAGAAUUCUAAAAAUACACAAAUUUCCCUAUUAAAGAGGGUGAAUGGAUGUUAGCACUGUAUCAGACACAUAAUAUUAAGGAGAUACCUGCUGUUUAACAUUAACAUUCUGUGUAGUUUUUUUUUUCAUCAAACAGACAUCAAAAAGUGAAUAAAAACAUGUCGUGAAAUUACCAAAUAAUAAAUUAACUUCCUGGAUACAAGGAAGUUAUUUUAGCAAGUUCUUUUUAAUAAAAGCAAAGAAUGGGGAUGUAACAAUUAGAGAAAUGUGGAGGAAAACAUAAGAAAGUUGGGAGAGGGAGGUCAAAUCUCACUUCCAGUUAUCAGUAAAGUGCACAUUCUUUUCUGUAUUCUGUGAGGCUGGAGGUGCUGCUGAUAGAAUGUCCUCACAUAUUCUGUCAAUGUCAGGAUGCAAACAUCAGUAAAUAAACCCUCGUGUCAAAA
This is a long non-coding RNA of Pan troglodytes (chimpanzee), 7336 nucleotides long. RefSeq lists it as uncharacterized. Lineage: Eukaryota; Metazoa; Chordata; Mammalia; Primates; Hominidae. The transcript has 3 exons. The record is from RefSeq and is a predicted model, not a curated record.